CCCAGAUCACUUCAGCUCAUUGAAGCGGUUUGGGUGCAAUGUCCCAGUACCCUUAAACCUGCAAUGAUAAUUAUUGCAGUUUCUGAGAAAACAAUUACCUCUCGGGUUUAAUGCCACCUUUAGUGGCUGCCUAUCAGACAGCCACCAGAGGGACAUCCGGUUGGUCGCCUAACUGACGCUAGACGUUCCCUUGCCGUGCAUGAAUAAAUCCAGCGCCAAUCAAAUCCCAAUAGGAAAGCA
Non-coding RNA from Pelobates cultripes (western spadefoot toad), 240 nucleotides. Lineage: Eukaryota; Metazoa; Chordata; Amphibia; Anura; Pelobatidae. The record is from the annotation of a GenBank genome assembly.